GGUCAUAUAGUUCAAUUGGUAGAACAGCGGAUUCAUGAUCUGCAUGUUGUAGGUUCAAGUCCUACUAUGACCACCA
This 76-nucleotide transfer RNA is filed under the name Acidobacteriota bacterium. Its description in RNAcentral is "Acidobacteria bacterium tRNA-Met". It matches the Rfam family "tRNA". From Rfam's summary of the family: Transfer RNA (tRNA) molecules are approximately 80 nucleotides in length. Their secondary structure includes four short double-helical elements and three loops (D, anti-codon, and T loops). Lineage: Bacteria; Pseudomonadati; Acidobacteriota. The record is from RNAcentral.